This 491-nucleotide ribosomal RNA is filed under the name Paramoeba perurans. Its description in RNAcentral is "SSU rRNA". Lineage: Eukaryota; Discosea; Flabellinia; Dactylopodida; Paramoebidae. The record is from RNAcentral.
AAAUUUAACAUAUGGUGAAUCAUGAUAACUUUACGAAUCGCAUGGUCUUUUGUGCCGGCGAUAGUUCAUUCAAAUAUCUGCCCUAUCAACUUUCGAUGGUAGUAUAGAGGACUACCAUGGUGUUAACGGGUAACGGAGAAUCAGGGUUUGAUUCCGGAGAAGGAGCCUGAGAAACGGCUACUACUUCCAAGGAAGGCAGCAGGCGCGCAAAUUACCCAAUCCCGACACGGGGAGGUAGUGACAAAAAAUAACAAUACCGGUCUUAUUUAAGUCUGGUAAUUGGAAUGAGUACAAUCUAAAUCCUUUAACGAGUAUCAAUUGGAGGGCAAGUCUGGUGCCAGCAGCCGCGGUAAUUCCAGCUCCAAUAGCAUAUAUUAAAGUUGUUGCAGUUAAAAAGCUCGUAGUUGGAUUUUGAAGUUUACAUAUUAUGACCCACUUUGUAUUADGUGUGUUUUGUUGUGAUAUGUACUUCUCCUUACUAGACUUUCACU